This 450-nucleotide ribosomal RNA is filed under the name uncultured bacterium. RNAcentral's name for it is "bacterial SSU rRNA". It matches the Rfam family "Bacterial small subunit ribosomal RNA", at positions 354 to 796 of the family's 1533-position model. The record is from RNAcentral.
GUGGGGAAUAUUGGACAAUGGGCGAAAGCCUGAUCCAGCCAUGCCGCGUGUGUGAAGAAGGUCUUCGGAUUGUAAAGCACUUUAAGUUGGGAGGAAGGGCAGUAAGUUAAUACCUUGCUGUUUUGACGUUACCGACAGAAUAAGCACCGGCUAACUUCGUGCCAGCAGCCGCGGUAAUACGAAGGGUGCAAGCGUUAAUCGGAAUUACUGGGCGUAAAGCGCGCGUAGGUGGUUUUGUAAGUUGGAGGUGAAAUCGCCGGGCUCAACCUGGGAACUGCCUCCAAAACUGCAUGACUAGAGUACGGUAGAGGGUAGUGGAAUUUCCUGUGUAGCGGUGAAAUGCGUAGAUAUAGGAAGGAACACCAGUGGCGAAGGCGACUACCUGGACUGAUACUGACACUGAGGUGCGAAAGCGUGGGGAGCAAACAGGAUUAGAUACCCGAGUAGUCC